RNAcentral lists this transfer RNA (95 nucleotides) under Amborella trichopoda. Its description in RNAcentral is "tRNA AMTR_s00102t00276200". It matches the Rfam family "tRNA". From Rfam's summary of the family: Transfer RNA (tRNA) molecules are approximately 80 nucleotides in length. Their secondary structure includes four short double-helical elements and three loops (D, anti-codon, and T loops). Further hydrogen bonds mediate the characteristic L-shaped molecular structure. tRNAs have two regions of fundamental functional importance: the anti-codon, which is responsible for specific mRNA codon recognition, and the 3' end, to which the tRNAs corresponding amino acid is attached (by aminoacyl-tRNA synthetases). tRNAs cope with the degeneracy of the genetic code in two manners: having more than one tRNA (with a specific anti-codon) for a particular amino acid; and 'wobble' base-pairing, i.e. permitting non-standard base-pairing at the 3rd anti-codon position. Lineage: Eukaryota; Viridiplantae; Streptophyta; Magnoliopsida; Amborellales; Amborellaceae. The record is from RNAcentral.
UGGGAGAGCUAGCUGAGUGGUUGAUAGCUCCGGUCUUGAAAACCGGUAUAGUUUCGAACAAAGAACUAUCAAGGGUUCAAAUCCCUCUCUCUCAU